This is a long non-coding RNA of Amblyraja radiata (thorny skate), 358 nucleotides long. RefSeq lists it as uncharacterized. Lineage: Eukaryota; Metazoa; Chordata; Chondrichthyes; Rajiformes; Rajidae. The transcript is spliced from 3 exons. The record is from RefSeq and is a predicted model, not a curated record.
GGAAGGAAGAAGAAAGAUCCGAUGUUACUGGGCAACUGUCCAUGCAACGUGCAGGUGAAGCGAUGGUGCCUUAUGCUGCGCUAAAUCUGAGUAAACCCCGGAAAAUUCCAAGGAAGGUGAAUCAAGAAAGGACGCUGUAUGCACAGACCAAGCAGAAACCAAUGCCUGGUAAAGUGAUUUACGCGCCUGUCGCUACGACGGGAAACAACACAGAAGGAAACACAAAUCGUUGGCAUAAUUACACGGACAACUCACAGCCAAUGAAGCAAAUGCGAGGGGCAGAUGGUAUCUAUUCGGAAUGGAUUCCCAAGUAGUUUCCGUGCUCAAAGUGACGUCUUGUUAUUUGUGUAGUUACUUA